Molecule: long non-coding RNA, 1599 nt
Organism: Astyanax mexicanus (Mexican tetra)
Lineage: Eukaryota; Metazoa; Chordata; Actinopteri; Characiformes; Acestrorhamphidae
Exons: 4
Source: RefSeq, a predicted model, not a curated record
GCUGUGACUUUGAACUUGUGGUGUUUAAGCGGAACUAUUUAACAGGAUCGAAAGAGUCCACCGGAUGAGAGCGGAAGUGUUGGACAAGGGACGCCGCACGCGGACGCUGCUCAGGGCUCGCAAACACGCGAGUGAACGGAGUGGCUGCUGGUUCACUCACUGCCCGGGAAGGUGGAUCGAUCAGUGAAGCUAUACUGACUGGGAGAACGGGGGAGUCGACUCGCCCUUCCACAAACUUAAGUAUCCGGUGUGUAAUCCAGUUCUGAACGAGUUGCUGUUUGUGGGAAGCGGAGCUGCUUUGUGUUUAUGCGAGCGUGUCCCCCGUGUCUUGUCGCAGCGCGCUGGAAACCACGUGGCCCUGUAGCUGAUGUGAGAACGUGAAAGACUCUAUUGUGUUGGCGUUCUCUGCUCCUGAAAGGUGUGCUGAGGAAAAGGGUACCCCAGUCUCCCCUGCCCCGACAAACCUUGGUCUCAACCUAGACCUCCGUUGCCAUUCCUUACAGGAACCAGCUACGAGGCCUUCUGAAAAACCACCGUGUUUCUUUCCCGAUGAUGAAUGUGUGAGAUCCGCAGGGAUGGAGGUAUCAGCAGAGUGGCGCCACAGCGUGCUAUCCUUCUGACGCCCAUGGCUCUGUGUGAUCUUCAGUCGAGACGGACGGCUCGGUGUCUGUACCUGCAAACACAACCAGCUAGCAGGAGUUUGGAGACACAUCAACGUAAUGCUCAGCAUAAUGUUUCCGACUGAAAAGACUCCGAGGGGUAGAAUUUACUGGAGGAACGAACAUAAACCAUGACCUACCUUUAUUUCCCAAAAGUCUGUUCUUCAAAGACGCCACAAUGAAUGUGUGCUGAUAGAUGUCUACCUCUCUUCAUUGGGAAUUUAUGAGCCUGAUGACAUGAAGACUCCCAUCCCCAGUGCAGGUAGUACAAUAUUAAAAUCCUUUUGAUCUGCACUUCUUUGAUAUUCCUUAUUAAGGAUUCACUUUUUAGAUGUAAAUAUGAGGAGUCAAGGGAGCUGUUACAGGGUAACACCCACACGCUCGCUCUGUCACUUUGAAUGCUUUAAAGCCGAUGCCUGGAAGGAAAAAGAGAGAGUGAAAGUAAAAGGAUGCAAAACUGAUGCUUCCAGGGCCGAGUUCUGGUGACCUGUCCAGCGGCAGAAGCCACGUCUGGUGAGUGAUGAUACUGACACGUCCUCACUGAUGUUCUGCCAUUUGAAAAAGCCUGCUGUUGCCUUUUACAUUAUGUGAUUUUUUUUUUAAAUGAAUGAAUAAUAACAUUCCAAAAAUAAUACUAUUACUAAUAGUGUUAGCAUACAUUACAGUUAAGAUGAGUUUAGUUAGAUUCUUGUUUCAUAAAAAAAAGACUAAAUAAAAAGGACUGUGUUCUAAAACCUAAGAAAGGUCAUUUAGUAGUAUUUUGGUGACUUACAGUCUUCUACCUUCGAGGUUUAACUUCACGUAGUUUCAUUUUUUGAAGGUAAACUCCCCACUUCCCCUCAAGAUCAAAAGAAUUGUUCGAUUUUUAUUGUUGUGCAUAAACCAUUCAGUUGCAUGAGAACACAAAUUUUGUGUUGUUUUGUUUGUCUCUUAUACUGUA